AAGUUUUGGGUCACAACUUUUUUUUCCCGGAGGCGCUGUAUGUGGGCUAGCGGGCGCUUUACCCAGGCGCCACCCCUCACCUGAAUGUUCCGGAAAAGCCAGGACCAUAUCCGGUCCAUAGAUUUACUAUUUCCGGUCGCGUGCUACACAGGUGAACGGCAUAUUCCGGACAAUUCCCGGAGAUCAUAUCUGAAAACGGCUUCAGAGACAUAUCGUGUGUAACGUCAGGACGUGGAGGUGGUUUAGUAUGGCCUUAGUGUAAACACACACAAAGGCCAUACCUAUGUCAUAAAUAGAAGUGCAACAGUCAAGAUUCAAAAACAUGGAAAAGAAGUCCUGGAGGAAAAUUUCUAGAUGCCUCUACACAAAAUUUUCUGACAAAUGGGCCAUUCUCUGUCAGCUGCUGAAGAUCAUGAGAUGUGAUCCACAGCUACCAACCGGACCAGCCUUCUGAUAGACAACCCUGACACCUGCUCCCAGGGGAGACCCUCCGCCAAGUCAGUGCACUGUUCCUUGAGAGACUUCCCUUACUUUAUCAGCCCAUAAAGGAUUGUCACAGGUGACUAUAUCAGCUGAGGAAAAGGAGGCUGCAGUGUCACCGGCUGGAUCACAAAAGGUAAACACCUGAUUUACACUAUUUAGAAAUCACCUCUAUAGUAUUGUACAACGCGUGACACUUGCUCCCUCAAUUGUUCCGUCCUGCUCCAGUUAUUAAUUACAGCACACUUUUAACAAAGCGACAUUGUCUAUGACUAAUCAUCGACACAGAAUGAUUAAAGAUGUUCUUCGCUUUUUUUGAAUUACUCGCUUCUCCUUCAUCCGUGUUCAUUCAUGAGCUACAUGCCACCGCCUCCCCCCCAUUCUUGGUCCAGAAUUUGGUUCGCUGUUAUCCGAUUACCAGCGUCCUGAGAGGCUUUCACAGGCCCAUCCAUCAAGACUAAGGGGUUGAGGGAGAGCGUCGACAAUGCUGCUGCAGCGAUGUAAAGCACAGAGGAGUCGUGUUUAUUAAAAGAUAAACAUGGUUUUAUAUAGAAAUACACAAGACUUGCCACGUAACAUGACAUUAUCUGAAACUCUGAUGUGACUUAAGGUGACAGUUUAUUUCUUUUUCCAAACUUGAGGGUUCCUCGAGGAUAAAAAUAUAUUCCCAUAUUUUCAAACUCAAAAUUACAAUACAGAGAUGUUAUAAAAUGACACCUGCUGCUAACGGCGGAAAAGUUGCACAACACACAGUCGAGUAAAACGUGCUUGACAGGAGAGCAGGUGUACGGACGCAGUUUGUCAUCGUGCAGCCCUCCCUCACAGCCACACGGCACGAGGAGAGUAUCUCCUAUAAGCCUGGAUCUGGCGCGGCUUUGGAGUACUGUUUGGUGACUGAGGGAAGAGCGGUGUCAGGAGGAUCAUCAGUGGCUCUCUCCCAGGGAGAUGAGCAGCAUAGGCCAAUUUUAUAUGCGGGGCUCGGCCUCUGGGUCUGAGUGGAGGUGGGCUGGGUCCACCCAGUAUCCUGGCUUCAUUAAUCAUCCCGCCAAGGCUUACUGGCAAACCCCCUCUCCGCCCUCUCCUAGACAACCCCUCGGAUUACACAGAGCCAGCGAAAUGUCAGCCCAAAUCUGAGUCUUGAUGCAGAUAAUCAUUUCAAUAAUAUUUCUCCAUUUGUGCCCCCGAUGCCAGGGGAAUAAAGCUUUUCCACUGUCAGGUAGCAUAAGACUACAGUUGGUGGGAAUACUUGACUCUGAGCCAGAUGGCUUAGCCAUGCUCGCAACAUAUGUUCAACAAGCAGUCCUGUGCCAAGCACGCAUUAGGUUUUUAUUAAUUUGAAGCAGGCAGGAAUGCAUACGUAUAUAUUUACCUGAUCCCACCACUCCUCGCCACCCUCAACCCCCAUGCUCCCUAUAGAGAAGCUAACUAGACUCGACUACUGUGUGCAGCAAGAACAAAAUAUGAGCAUGGGUCCAAACAAUGCAAAAGUAAUAAGACAUUUCUAGUUGCCACUAUUUUAACACGACAUAUUACGCAAAAUGUGUAUUUUGUAAAUAUUACAUUGAAGAAAAUUAAAAUACAAUUAAAACAUAUCUGGUCUAUUUUUAAGUGAGCAUUAGUUCGUUACUCAUCAAAGCCAAUUACAGUGUGUAUUUAUGGCUCCGGCGUCUGCCACGGUGGCGCUGGUUGUUAGAAAGCAAAUUACCAUUUAGAUUCAUGAAUAUGCUUGGGUCCAAGACAAAAGAAACAGUGCUGCAUGGGAGGGCAAAUUUAUUCAUUACCACUAAGUUGAACUUCCCUUUAACAGCCCGGUGCUCUGAAAUCCUGGGAGUUCUUCUCCCAGUGACUUAUGGUAGUGCGAGGGGAGGGGGGGAGGGGGGGAGGCGGCGCGCCGAAAAUGUCAAUAGAAAUAGUAAGUGUGAGAGGGAAGGCUUGCCUAAUUAGUGCCCAUUUAGAUUUUAUGACGGCUCUGAGAUCUGCUCUUCCUGACAGAGAGCACUAUAGUUGCAUAUUGUCCUAGCCUGAGGGAACCAUAGGAAAAUCCAGAUUUAUCGUACCUAUCAUACCAGCAUAUUUCAUUUGCCAUUAUGAGAUGCCAUCUUGCAAUGAUGCCAGAUUAUUUAUUACAGAUUAAAUUGUGGGACCUGGGUGGUUGAGGAACAUUUCAAAGUACCAUUCCUCUUAUUAACUUCUUCAUUAUCUGCCCCACUGUGAUGUAAAAGCUCCCUCCUUCCUAUCUGUGUUAACAAAUACAUUACUGAUUGGACAAUGCUGAACUGUUUUUUCACUCUCUGCGUUUGUUUCCUAACAUUAGUGCCGGUGUGCACCACAACUCAUUUGUCUCCUCUACUUAGGGCAGAAAGGGAUUUCACUUUGUUAAGGCCAAUUUCACAUAGAAAAGUUUUGUUUCUUUUGAUCAGGUAGUUUUCCCAGUUAAUUCAUAACCUGAAGCAAUACAGAAUUCAAAUAAAUAUUGUGGUUUGUUUUGGGUUUCAAUCCCAUGGAGAAUUUGAUUAAUUUUGCAGCCUCAUGAUGUUUUGAGGUAUAGUGAAGGUAGACACAUCCAUACCCAUCUUCCUCUGCAGUUUCCAGACGCCCGAGUGGUUUUUAAAUAUUUUGUGUAUUAGGUGGUGUUUAUUUACUGUGUCCCUUAAACCCAAGGACGUUGGCAUUUAUCCUAUUUACACAUCAAUAUUACAUCUCCACGAAGGCCUUGAGAGUUGCAUUUAAGUCAUUGUGCAGGAUGGUAUUAAAAUGUACUCCAUACUGUGAGGGGAGCUCAUCAGGGAAUAGCCGGGCCCUGGACUCCCAUUACCCAGCAUAAAAGUGUCAGCCACUUUAAUUACAUUCAUGCCUUCCCCAGUCCAUUUUCCUGCAGCCACAAUCAGAUUUCACGCACAGAUCUCAUGCCUCCGUCUGGACCGUUUGGACAUUGUUGGUGGUGAGAGGAGGAUCUAAGCAUGAUUUUUUUUUUUUUUUACAAUUUUUUCCAUCUGUCAUCUGAACUCAUGAUGUAUGAGCAGUGUUUAGACCUUAGAUAUUUCAGGUGUUUCCAGCCGGUCAUGCACUCACAGGCUCGAAUGCUUUGUCUGCUGCUCCUGGUCCCUCAAUGUGAAUUUGAGUAUCUGUCGCCGGAGUUGUUGAUUAAGUUGGAAUGUACAGCCACUAAAUAUCAGUGCACCCCACUGAGAGUGGAGGAAUCGGCUGUACACAGGGCACCCUCACAGAGGAGUGUGACG
Molecule: long non-coding RNA, 3719 nt
Organism: Scophthalmus maximus (turbot)
Lineage: Eukaryota; Metazoa; Chordata; Actinopteri; Pleuronectiformes; Scophthalmidae
Exons: 5
Source: RefSeq, a predicted model, not a curated record